UCUGUGAGAGCUGCUGUCAGCUUCCAGAUGGUGCCUUAUUGCUACAUCCUUUAAGGUGUUGAACCCUGUGUCUUCACAUGGCCAAAAGAAGAGAAGGGUAAAAAGAGCCUUGCUAGUUCCCUCUAGCCCUUUUAUAAGGUCAUAGGAAAUGAAACAGACUGCUGUUUUCAUGAGAAGCAUUUACAGAGGGAAAUAAGGACACUCACCAAAUAGGGCUAAUUUGAAGAAGGACACAGCUGACUUAGUAGGAAGAAGGCAGAAGAAUUAUCUCCUGGUAAUCAAGACUCUGAAAAUAAGACUUAAGAUAAAAGACUGGAUACAUGCAAGAACAGAGUUCUUAAAGAUCACCAGCUGAAGAUUGUGAUUUUUCAUUCUUCUAUGCCCUAAGACAGCCAUAUUUUACCAUUUGAAACAUAAAUAAAAAUGACUUCCAGGCUUA
Molecule: long non-coding RNA, 439 nt
Organism: Homo sapiens (human)
Lineage: Eukaryota; Metazoa; Chordata; Mammalia; Primates; Hominidae
Source: Ensembl